GACGAACGCUGGCGGCGUGCCUAAUACAUGCAAGUCGAGCGAAGUUUUUCUGGUGCUUGCACUAGAAAAACUUAGCGGCGAACGGGUGAGUAACACGUAAAGAACCUGCCUCGUAGACUGGGACAACUAUUGGAAACGAUAGCUAAUACCGGAUAACAGCAUUAACUGCAUGGUUGAUGUUUGAAAGUUGGUUAUGCUAACACUAUGAGAUGGCUUUGCGGUGCAUUAGCUAGUUGGUGGGGUAAAGGCCCACCAAGGCGACGAUGCAUAGCCGACCUGAGAGGGUGAUCGGCCACACUGGGACUGAGACACGGCCCAGACUCCUACGGGAGGCAGCAGUAGGGAAUCUUCCGCAAUGGGCGAAAGCCUGACGGAGCAACGCCGCGUGAGUGAAGAAGGAUUUCGGUUCGUAAAGCUCUGUUGUUAGGGAAGAAUGGAUAUGUAGUAACUAUACAUAUAAGAGACG
This 466-nucleotide ribosomal RNA is filed under the name Gemella morbillorum. RNAcentral's name for it is "bacterial SSU rRNA". It matches the Rfam family "Bacterial small subunit ribosomal RNA", at positions 28 to 474 of the family's 1533-position model. Lineage: Bacteria; Bacillati; Bacillota; Bacilli; Caryophanales; Gemellaceae. The record is from RNAcentral.